UACGUAGGUGGCAAGCGUUGUCCGGAAUUAUUGGGCGUAAAGCGCGCGCAGGUGGUUUCUUAAGUCUGAUGUGAAAGCCCACGGCUCAACCGUGGAGGGUCAUUGGAAACUGGGGAACUUGAGUGCAGGAGAGAAGAGUGGAAUUCCACGUGUAGCGGUGAAAUGCGUAGAGAUGUGGAGGAACACCGAUGGCGAAGGCAGCCCCCUGGGCUAACACUGACGCUCAGGCACGAAAGCGUGGGGAGCAAACAGG
RNAcentral lists this ribosomal RNA (253 nucleotides) under uncultured bacterium. Its description in RNAcentral is "partial 16S ribosomal RNA". It matches the Rfam family "Bacterial small subunit ribosomal RNA", at positions 524 to 776 of the family's 1533-position model. The record is from RNAcentral.